AAACGACUCUCGGCAACGGAUAUCUCGGCUCUCGCAUCGAUGAAGAACGUAGCGAAAUGCGAUACCUGGUGUGAAUUGCAGAAUCCCGCGAACCAUCGAGUCUUUGAACGCAAGUUGCGCCCGAGGCCAUCCGGCCGAGGGCACGCCUGCCUGGGCGUCACGCCA
Molecule: ribosomal RNA, 165 nt
Filed under: Lithachne horizontalis
Lineage: Eukaryota; Viridiplantae; Streptophyta; Magnoliopsida; Poales; Poaceae
Description: 5.8S ribosomal RNA
Rfam family: 5.8S ribosomal RNA
About the family: 5.8S ribosomal RNA (5.8S rRNA) is a component of the large subunit of the eukaryotic ribosome.
Source: RNAcentral